This 253-nucleotide ribosomal RNA is filed under the name uncultured bacterium. Its description in RNAcentral is "partial 16S ribosomal RNA". It matches the Rfam family "Bacterial small subunit ribosomal RNA", at positions 524 to 776 of the family's 1533-position model. The record is from RNAcentral.
UACAGAGGGUGCGAGCGUUAAUCGGAAUUACUGGGCGUAAAGCGCGCGUAGGCGGCUUUGCAAGUCGGGUGUGAAAUCCCCAGGCUUAACCUGGGAACUGCAUUCGAGACUGCAUUGCUAGAGUAUGGGAGAGGGAAGUGGAAUUUCCGGUGUAGCGGUGAAAUGCGCAGAUAUCAGGAGGAACACCGGUGGCGAAGGCGGGUCUCUGGGCCGAUACUGACGCUGAGGAGCGAAAGCGUGGGGAGCGAACAGG